ACCUGGCUGGCUCAGUCAGAAGAGGGUGCGACUCUUGAUCUCAGGAUGAUGAGUUCAAGUCCCAUGUUAGGUA
Molecule: transfer RNA, 73 nt
Filed under: Felis catus (domestic cat)
Lineage: Eukaryota; Metazoa; Chordata; Mammalia; Carnivora; Felidae
Also listed under: 5 other names
Rfam family: tRNA
About the family: Transfer RNA (tRNA) molecules are approximately 80 nucleotides in length.
Source: Rfam by way of RNAcentral